UCUAACCCAAUUUUUUUUCUCAUUUCUCAUCUUUUUCCUUUUUCUCUCAAAGAAGAAGAACGACAACUCCAAACCAACAAAAUAGACAAAUUUUGGCUCCAGCGAAAGAAAACCCCCUUUUCGAUUUCAUUGAUAAAACGUAAAUCGAUCUCUCGUGGGGAAGAAGAAGAAGAAGACGAUGGGAACAAUGAGAAAAGCAUUGUACAACGUAGGAUUCUGGAUCCGGGAAACUGGUCAAGCACUUGAUCGGCUCGGUUGUCGCCUCCAAGGCAAAAAACACUUCCGAGAACAUCGUACUAAUUACAAUGGUUAUUACAAGAGGAGGGGGAUCUAGUUGUAGAAGCGAACCAUAUGCCUCUCUUAGAAGUGCCAAAAGACAAAAGCAAUUAGAUCCAAAGCAUUCAGAGAUAGCAACUGUAGUGAGGUCUGAUUGUGAGACCAUGGCUGCUAGUUUUAACAUAGAUUAUGGUGAUUAUAGAGGUGAUGGAGAGGUUGUUUUGUAUCCAAGGUUGUUGGUGAUAGUAGAGGUGAUGGAGAGACUGUUUUUUACCCAAGGCUCUUUGGUUUCUAAGGUUUUUUAUAAAUCUAAGUGUUUAGGUACAAUUGUUCGGAUGUGUUUUGGUUUCUAAGGUUAUGUAUGAAGCUAAUUGUUUAGGUACAACUGGUACGAUCAGGUACAACUAUGUUUCUGGGUUUAUGUUUUUUUGGUUUAAAAACCUAUCUAAUUAUGUAUGUAUCUUUGAAUCUGAAUCUUAAUAUUUUUAUGUAUGAAUCUAUGUAUUGAAUAUAA
Arabidopsis lyrata subsp. lyrata is the source of this 790-nucleotide long non-coding RNA. RefSeq lists it as uncharacterized. The transcript has 2 exons. The record is from RefSeq and is a predicted model, not a curated record. Lineage: Eukaryota; Viridiplantae; Streptophyta; Magnoliopsida; Brassicales; Brassicaceae.